This 439-nucleotide small RNA is filed under the name Pongo abelii (Sumatran orangutan). Its description in RNAcentral is "processed transcript". The record is from RNAcentral. Lineage: Eukaryota; Metazoa; Chordata; Mammalia; Primates; Hominidae.
GUGAGAGGAGCGAGGGCAGCGCCCAGGAAACGCACAAGUGUGCGGGAGAGCCAGCACCAGGACGACAUCAUGGCAAAUUCCCAAACUGGACGGAUCCGGCUCGGGUUACGUCCAGCAGGGCCGAACCGGCCCAGGCCGGCCCCGGGGUCCUCAGUGCCGGCUGGAGGGGCUGGGCACCUCUGGGGCGGGGUUCUGCUCCACCUGCCCUCGGGGCGGACUGUGCCCUCGGCGGGCACGCGGACCGGCGGGGUAGGGCUAGGACCCGGCUUCUCUGGGCCAAGGAUCAAGGUCCCUGCCUGGAUUAGGUCCCCACGCAUUCCCGUCUUCGGAACCCGGCCUCUUAAGAGGGCGCAGUAGAGCCCCAGCGGAGCGCGAGAACCCGCUCUACAGCCUAUUUCUUCUCCGCCCUGGGCAGAGCCACCUGGACGUGAGACCCGCC